GUGGCAUAGCUCAUAGGGGAUGAUUGAAUCUGGCUUCUCACAUACGUUAUACUCUCUCUCUCUCUCUCAUUCUCUCAUUCUCUCAUAACCCUAAUUCAGUCUCUCUCUUCUCUUCUCUUCUCUUCUCUUCUCUGGCGAACACGGCGAUGAAACAACAAAUCCUGGAGAUCAAAUCGGCGAUUUAGUGAACUUGGCUUCUAUGUUACGCUUUCUCUCAACUCUCUCUCUCAUUCUCACAAAAGUCUCCAAACGAUUGCUGCGAAACCCUAACAAGCGACUCGUAUAGUCAUCGACCCUAAUCAGCGAUUCCUCUAAGCAUGGAGUGGUUGUGUCUAGCGGCGGUGGUUGUGUCUAGCGGCGGCAAUGGUGGUCUAAUGUUGAUGGUGGAGGAGUCGCGGCGGCGGUGGUUUUGUUUUACUUGAAUCUUCCUCUCAAUAUUUCCCUACGCCUUCUAAGGUUUUACAGUUUCGAUUCGAUUUUUGAAUUGGGUUUGAACUCGAACUGGAUUAUAAGUUUUAUUGAUUUUGAUUUUUGGGUUCUGUAUAUUUUAAUAAUUAGUGUUAUUUCUUGGAUUAUUUUAAUAUGUAUAACAUAGUAGAUGUUGAAAGAAGAUGCAAAUGGUGGAGAAUUUAUCCAAUUCUUCAGGUUGGGAGAUGAGUUCAGGUCAUAUGCAUAAAGAGAGAGAUGUGAGAUCAGGGAGAUCUCUAUAGCCCGCUGACCGGUGUAAGGCGACUCAAGACAAGUGUGAGAAAGUUGUGCAGGAUGCCCUAUCAGAUGAAGAUGAUUCAUGUGAUGUGCACAUUUUAAAAGCAACAUUUAGAUGUGGUUUUGUGGGUAUUGUUUAAAAGAAAUCUCUAUUUUUUUGUUUUAAACAGUAGCAUCUAAGGCACAGUGACACCACUAGGAUUUAGUUGUGAGUGUUGCUCAUUUAGCUGUUAAAAUAUAAUAUAUAUAUUUUUUGCAGGGUCAUGAUAGGAAUAGCAGAACAGGGGUAUUCAGUCCUCCUACUGACCUUAUUUUUCUUGGAGGUUUGCCUCACCGGUUUUGUACCUUAUACUGUAAAGUUUCUCAAUUUUAUACUUCUUUUGUGGAUGUAUGUGUAUUACUGCUUUGAGUAUGUGUCGAUUACAUGGCUACCGUUUGUUUAAAUUUAGAGGUGGCAUAAUGGUGGGUCUGGUAAUGGGUCAAACUGUUUGCGGGUUAGGUUGAUCUGGAAGGACCGGAACACUAUUUGUUUUUGUUCAAAUUUGUUGUAAUUUUUUUUAUAAAGAGUUCGUGUGACAAAAAAGAUUACAAAAAUUAUCUUAUUCUAAUAAUGAUUGACUUUGACCUGUUUUCUUUUAAACUAGCCUUUUAUAAAUCCUUUUGAAUCGAUUAAAACAUAACAUGAAUUGACCCGUUCAGAGGUAAAUAGAUUGAAAUUGCCACCUCUACCGUACUAAUUAUACCUUACCACAUAUCAUCUCAUUGUAGCUUUUCAAUUUCAUACGUACAAAUGGAACUUCUCUGGCCUGAGUUUGGAUAAAAGGCUUGACUUUUUUGAGUCAAACUGGGAGUUCUUCGCUGGUUUCGGAUCUCCUUGUGUUUUGGCCAUUUUCUUUUUUUCUCCUUUAGUGAGUUAUGGAGUAAUGGCAAUACUCUUUCCAAUGUGUAGUUGAUGCACAUAAAACAAAAUGGAGAGGUGAAGAAUUGAGAAAGCUUCCUAUAUUUUACGCUGCAUAUAAGUUAUGGGAUGCUUUCAAGAGAGUUUGUUCCCUUCGUGUUAUUAAACACAUUUUUAACUAAUAAAUAUUGCUUCAAAUCUAUACAUGAUAAGAAAGUAGUAAUAACGUGUAACCUUUAGUGAAGAGAUUCAUCAUUGGGAUGCUUACAAAUAUUGGUAGCAACAUGAAAUACAAGUGUAUGUAUUUGGUAUGUUAGCAAGGUGUUAAUGGGCCUGUGAGUUUUCUUUAGCGUAUUCUCAUGUGUACCUAAAAAGGAAAUAAAAAAUUAAGAAAAUAAAAACAAGACAUUCAUUCUAAUACUAAACAAAGUGCAUUUGAAUUAACACCACUUAAUUAUUUCAACCACAUUUCAUUAGAUUUUUUGACAUAUGUUUCUCAUUCAUCUUGCAGGCACUUUAAAGGAGACGUUUAUCGAUUCCCAACUUUGGUUAGACUUCGACUGUGAAUCUGAUCUAAUGAGUGUUAAUGGAGGUAAGCCAUGUAGCUACAUAUAUAUAGUGAAACUCCUAAAUUUCUAAUAAAUGUAUGUACUACUAUUUAUAUAAAACAAAAGUUUGUAUAUUUAUUUUUUUUAAAUACGUUUUAGAUAUGCUUUGGUAUACAUCUCUCUUUUUUCACACGUUUUGGUCACGGGGCCAGUGGUAGCUUGUGGAGCUGACAAUCUGUGUCAGUUUCGGGUUCUGUGUUAACUCAUCAUGUGGGUGCGAUAAAAAAAUAGCUUGAAAUGGGUAGAAGGUGUUCCAUAGUUGUGAAGGCAUAAACCUUUCUAAUUUUUUUUAUUCAUAAAAUUAGAUCAUUAGUGAAAUAAUUAGUAUUUAUGAUCAUAUUUGACAUUUCUAAAUGGAAAUCUAGAACAAAGAAAGUUGAACCUAACGGGUUACUUUUUUGUAUGUUGAAGUGUAUUGUUGUAUGUUGUGUGCAAGGUUUAAAAUAACGGAAACAAGUUUUGAGGCGUUUUCCCUUCGUCUCACGAGGCGUAAGCCUCGAGGUGAACCAAGGCGGAUUACUCUCUUCGCCUCAUGAAGCGUCAUUAUUUUGGUUUAACUUUUCUAUGGUUUAGCUUUUUGGAAUCUGAAUAAGGUUGGUUGAGUCUGACAAAACAAGAAGGAUAUUGGCUAUAGUCAUUUGCCACUGGAUUAAGGAGGAGCCGGUUGACCAUCUCUUCGUGUCUUGCCACUUCGCCUCAAGGUGUUUGGGAUCGGGUUGCAAGCUGGUGCCGUCUAACUGGGUUGUAUAUGUUUGAAAGCAAAGAUUUGGUCGGAUAUCAUUGCCAUGCGAGUGGGUCGACAAAAUGAAAAAAAAUGGUGUACACUAUAAUGCAGACUGGAAUGUGGAUUAUAUGGCGUUAUCGAAACAACUUAGCAUUCAACCAGAAGUUUAAUGGUUUGAGAAAUGUGUCUAAAUAGUUUACACUGUAAUGCAGUAGUUCUUACGUAAUAAAAAUUUGAUAAAUACGAUAUGAGUGUGUUGGUGGUCUGUAUCUUUGGCGUAUGUUUGGUUAAAAGAUUUUUCUGCA
Helianthus annuus (common sunflower) is the source of this 3240-nucleotide RNA transcript. It is a transcript of the gene named protein EI24 homolog, with no coding region annotated. The record is from RefSeq and is a predicted model, not a curated record. Lineage: Eukaryota; Viridiplantae; Streptophyta; Magnoliopsida; Asterales; Asteraceae. The transcript is spliced from 6 exons.